This is a long non-coding RNA of Poecilia latipinna (sailfin molly), 1011 nucleotides long. RefSeq lists it as uncharacterized. NCBI's taxonomy places the organism in Eukaryota, Metazoa, Chordata, Actinopteri, Cyprinodontiformes, Poeciliidae. The transcript has 2 exons. The record is from RefSeq and is a predicted model, not a curated record.
GUUCAGGUUUCCACCCUCAUCAAAAACCUGAUGGACUUUGAGUGGCAUCUCAUUUAGUAAGUGCCACUUGGACUCUUGAAAACCACAUUUUAAAACCCUGUUAAUACUAGAAUUCCACAUUAUUUCAGCCAUGUUGAAUUUUAGAUUUUGGAAGUCCUUUUUCAUUGAUUUGUUUAGUGAUACCCAAACAAUGGAUAUUUCUUUAAGAACUGUGUUUAUAUGUUCAUAAGAUUGUAAAAAUUAAUGAGAUAAACCCAGUUUAUGUCGCUGUAAACUGAAAGUCUUCAAUUUUUAUUCCAGUGUUAGUGAAACUAUAUAUUGACUUUGAAGGCCUAUUUUUUACCAGUUCUCUGAGGAAUGGUUUUGUUUUAUUUGUUUUGAAUGUUUGAAGAUAUUGGAAAUAUAUGUGGUUUGAGGCAUAGUGGUGCCUUUAAAUAAAAAUUCUGUUCUGACGGUUACUUAUCGCAUCCUCUUUUGUGUUAUGUAAAGUUCUGAUUAUGCAGAUUAUGCAUUUUAGAACCGCACCAAUUGUACCACUUCUAAGAAGCCUACACUGGGUCAGGUAUUAAUGUUCUAUCGUAAAACUAAGACUGUACUUUAAAAAGUAGCAUUACAGUUUUCUUGGCAGUAGUUUACUCAUAAAGUGAAUGCAGGAGUAAAACUAAACUUACUGUUAAAAAUACUGGAACGCUACUAUCUGAAGGUAUAUUUACUUUCACCACUGUAUUUUACGGUGGCCAACAGGUGCAAAGACGCGAAAAACACAUGCAACAAAAAAGAGAUGCAAACAAAAAAUGCUGAAAACAGAAGUGAUCCAGACCACUAGGUGGAGUCGAACAAAGAACAGCUGUGUCCGAAGUCAGGUUUUGCAUCUUUGGGUCCUCGACAACCGGAAGAGAGAAGCUGUAGCUUUCAGCUAGCUGCUUAGCCUCUACCUUGGCGUUAUGUUGCUUAGCAACCAUGACAACGUGAAUCACGUAGCGGCGAAGAAAAAAAACGGACUCGAAAUAU